UACCCCCAUGUUCCGACAGAGCAUUAAUCUAAGACUAUCAAGUAAUCAACUGCUAAAGACUAGGAUUUGACAAGCCACCUUCCAAAAACGACCUCGUUUCAUUCCCACCUGAACAAACACAACUCAAAAAACUCUUCCCCUCUAAAGGUUUCAGAUAAACUUGAAGCUUAAAAAAUUUAUUUUUAGACAAAAAAAAAAAAAGACAAAUGGUCAGUUUAUUUCCUUCUCAAAAAAAAAGGGUCAGUUUAGUUGGUUGAGUUCUAAAACGAACUGAAAACAAAAACAAAGAAGUUUUUGUUGCUCCACUUUCAGAUUUGAGAUCUUCAAGUUCUUUGUUCUUUCCCACUGAAGAACGAAAUCCCAUGUAAGCUUCCUUUUGAUCCGAACUAUUUGACAAUGACAGAAGAUGACAAUCCAUGAACAGGGCUACAUAUUUAGUUACAAUUAUUCCUUAUGAAAUGGAUAAAAGAAGAGUCCUAUGGUUUUACAGCCCUCUUACUUUAAUUUAGCUUAAAUUUGUUGAAAAUGAAGAAGUGGUCUGGAGGCAUGUGUAUCGUGGCUCUUGCAGUGAUCUUGGUUCUCCGUUACAGCCUUAUAGGAAUCCAGCCACAGAAGCAGUCAGCAUAUGAUUUCUUUAGAAACCAUCCAACCAGUGAUUCUCAAAUGAAGGACAGUGGCACCGUUAAAAAAGUAUCAAAGCCGUUAAAAAAGCCCCCUCUUAAAGAUAUUGAAGGACUCAGUGAUCUGUAUGCUUCUAAAAAUAUUUCUGAGGAAGAAUCAAAGGCCCUGCUUGUAUGGGCUCACAUGCGUAUGCUACUUUCCAGGAAUGACACUUUUCCUGAAACAGCUGAUGGAGUCAAAGAGGCUUCCAUAGCAUGGAAAGAUUUACUCUCCACAAUUGAGAAGGAAAAAGCCUCCAAGUUUAGCAACAGUAACAACUCCAACAAUAAAAAUUGUCCUUACUCUGUUAGUACACUUGAUAAGACAGCAAUGAGUGAUGGAGUCAUUCUUGAGCUCCCUUGUGGUCUAGUUGGGGAUUCUUCAAUUACUUUAGUUGGCAUUCCCAAUGGACAAAAUGGAAGCUUUCAAAUUGAACUCGUAGGAUCGCAACUUUCUGGGGAGCCAACACCUCCUAUUAACUUGCAUUUCAAUGUUAGUCUUCCUGGAGAUAAUAUGACAGAGGAGCCAUUUAUAGUUCAGAAUACAUGGACUAGUGAAGCUGGUUGGGGCAAAGAGGAAAGAUGUCCUGCUCAUGGUUCUGCUAGCAUCAUCAAAGUUGAUGGACUUGUUCUUUGCAAUGAACAAAUUGCCAGGAGCAGUGUGGAAGAUAAUCUGAAUGUAAGUCAUCCUACAAGUGACAUGUUUACAAAUGGUUCCAGGGAAAGUGCCCAUGGAAGUGUGAGUUUCCCAUUUGUUGAAGGGAAUCCCUUCACUGCCACAUUGUGGGUUGGUCUGGAGGGCUUUCAUAUGACCAUAAAUGGGAGGCAUGAAACGUCUUUUGCAUAUAGGGAGAAACUUGAACCAUGGUCAGUUAACAGAGUCAAAGUGGCGGGUGGUUUGGAUCUCUUAUCUGCCUUGGCUAAAGGCUUACCUGUUUCUGAAGAUAAUGAUUUGGUUGUUGAAGUAGAGCACCUCAAAGCUCCGUCAGUUUCAAGAAAACGACUUAUAUUGUUGAUUGGGAUUUUCUCUUCGGGAAAUAAUUUUGAGCGUCGUAUGGCACUGAGGAGGUCUUGGAUGCAAUAUGAGGCUGUUCGCUCUGGGGAUGUAGCUGUUAGAUUUUUCAUUGGCCUUCACAAGAACAACCAAGUCAAUUAUGAGCUAUGGAGAGAAGCUCAAGCAUAUGGGGAUAUCCAGUUGAUGCCCUUUGUUGAUUAUUACAGCUUGAUUGCUUUGAAAACAGUUGCAAUUUGCAUCUUUGGGACCAAAAUCCUCCCUGCCAAAUUUAUCAUGAAAACAGAUGAUGAUGCUUUUGUUAGGAUUGAUGAAGUUCUCUCUAGCCUCAAGGGAAAGGCACCUAAUGGACUCUUGUAUGGUCUUAUUUCUUUCAAAUCAGCACCCCAUAGGGAUAAAGACAGCAAAUGGUAUAUAAGCACUGAGGAAUGGCCACCUGCUUCAUAUCCACCAUGGGCCCAUGGUCCAGGAUACAUUAUCUCUCGGGACAUUGCAAAAUUCAUUGUUCGUGGUCACCAUGAAAGAGAGCUUAAGCUUUUUAAACUAGAAGAUGUUGCAAUGGGCAUAUGGAUUGAACAAUUCAAGAAAAGUGGCCAAGAAGUGCAUUACAUCAAUGAUGAUAGGUUUCACAAUGCUGGAUGUGAACCAAAUUAUGUUCUGGCCCAUUAUCAAGGCCCGAGGAAGGUGCUAUGCCUUUGGGAGACGCUGCACAAAGAGCACCAGGCCCUUUGCUGUGAGUAAAUAUCAACCUUAGCGACACAGGAACCCCCCUUGACGAGCUCAAACUCUUCACUGUAAAGACAAAGUAAAAAGCAAUCCGGCAACCAGAAAUUGAAUUGCAGUUCACGCAACUAUUGAUAUUUUUCUCCAAUUCAUGCUCCUGGUGACAUGCUAUACAAGUGGAACCAUUCAGAUAUUCUUUGGUGCAACUAGGAUGAACUAAGUUUGUCCUCUCUUUUUUUAUCUUGUCAAUGUUUAGUACAUGAAAGCGUGCCAUUGAUUACAAAAACAAGUUGAAAGAGUUUGUUGUUUGACCUCUUUUGGUUCUAUUUUUGUAGAAUAAUAAUAGCCUUUUGGUCUGUCUUUUCUUCUGAAAAGUACAAGGUAGUGGAUUUAUUUUUAAUAAUGUGCUUUAUAUAUAUACAUACAUAUAUAUAUUAGAGGUAAUGGAUUUAUAUUCCAAAUUUCCAAUUCUAAUAAUCAUAGAACAUUGAAGGCUUACAAAUCAUAGAACAUUUAAGCCAACCGAAAACCAUUUGAGCGAUUGGUCUGAGCCGUGUAACGUGCACCAUCCAGUUUGUGUAAUGAUUAAUAUGUCUCUCUCUCUCUCUCUUCAUAUAUCGAUGAAGAACAUGUGUGAACAUAUUCCA
This is an RNA transcript of Quercus lobata, 3041 nucleotides long. It is a transcript of the gene named Galactosyltransferase family protein, with no coding region annotated. NCBI's taxonomy places the organism in Eukaryota, Viridiplantae, Streptophyta, Magnoliopsida, Fagales, Fagaceae. The transcript has 9 exons. The record is from RefSeq and is a predicted model, not a curated record.